Molecule: long non-coding RNA, 835 nt
Organism: Arachis duranensis
Lineage: Eukaryota; Viridiplantae; Streptophyta; Magnoliopsida; Fabales; Fabaceae
Exons: 2
Source: RefSeq, a predicted model, not a curated record
GGCCAACAAGCGUAAUAACAACUGGUUACCUCCUCCAUGGGCAAUACUUGCUUUGAUUAUUCUCGGAUUUAAAGAAUUUAUAACACUCUUAAGAUAUCCAUUGUAUUUGCUUGUCAUCUUUAUUGGUUAUCUUCUCAUCAAAGCCCUAUGAGUGCAACUGGACAUUGUGGGUGAAUUUCGCCAUGGAGCUGAGAGUAUAAUUCCUCGUUGUCAUAUAUUGUUCAAUUCAUUAAUCAUAAUUAUAAUUAUUUGGUCUAUUCACCACCUUGGUUACUGAGUUUUGGAUCACAUACACACGUGACACGUCAGUAGCAUCAAGCUGGGGAUUCCAUAAAUAGUCCUUUAGUUGAGCUACUGCCUACCAGCUCUUAUUAAAUGUUCACUAGGUAUUUAACCAUCUAUAUAAAAGCCUUAUUUCGUACUUGUUUACUUUCAACUGCCGGGACUCUUAUCCUUGUCUACCAAAUUCGUUCCAACUGUCAUGAACCUUAUGAAAAAACUAGCAGACGAGGGUGUAGAUAACAAUACUCGCAGAAAUCCACCAAAAGGCGACUAAGUUAAUAUAUUCAAUUGCAUAAGAAGGCAGCGAUGGAUUUUUUUGCAGGUUUGUGGUCUUUGCGUGCUGCAGGAAGUUGGGGAGACCGAGUUAGUGUUUCAGAUUGUCAAUUACUCAUAUUUUAUAUACUGUGUAUCACUUUUCCUUUUCUUUUUUAUAUAGAAUAUUCAUAGAGUUUAAGUGCUAUAAGUAUUUUUUUCUCAUUUUAUUUGCAUCACGAAACAAACUUGUACAAUGAUUAUUGAUUAAUGAAAGUCUAUAAAAAUUUCAUUUUUUGAA